This 1414-nucleotide long non-coding RNA is filed under the name Cricetulus griseus (Chinese hamster). Its description in RNAcentral is "lncRNA (ENSCGRG00015040082.1)". The record is from RNAcentral. Lineage: Eukaryota; Metazoa; Chordata; Mammalia; Rodentia; Cricetidae.
AAACAGCUGUAUUACUGCAAAGCCCCACCCCAUCAUGGAACUGCAUCAUGGGAGUCAUCUCACUUUCAAUUAACCUUCUGCUUCCUACAUACUCUAGCAUAUAGCAAGAUCACUCCUACCAUUUUGCUGAGACAGGGUCUCCCUCUGUAGCCCAGCUUUCUGCCUCAGGCUUUCAGACCUUGAAGUCCAAAUUUGUAUCACCGAGUCCUGAAGGGGCAAAUUUCCAAAUUAAGCUUCUGCUUACUGUGUAGUUGCACAGACUUGUAUAUUUUGUUUGCAUUCUGUUGUGUUGAGGAUUGAACCUAGGGCUUCAGGUAUGCUGGGAGAGAGGCUACCAUGGAGCUACAUUUCCCAGCCUCAGAGACUUGCUUCUUGCAAGACCUUGUGCUUUUUUGUUGUUGUUUUUGUUUAAAGACAGGGUUUCUCUGUGGGGUAGUCCUGGCUGUCCUGGAACUGCUCUGUAGACCAGGCUGGCCUCAAACUCACUGAGAUCUGCCUGCUUCUGGGAUUUUCCAAGUGCUGGGGAUUAAAGGCCUGCACCACCAUUGCCCAGAGCUUGGGCUGGAGAGAAGGUUCAGGGAUUCCAGAAGACCUGAGUUCAAUUCCAGCACCCGGGCAACCAGGUCCUGGGAGAGAGCCCAGGCAGGCAACAGGGCAGAUGAUGCCAGAAGGACCUGAGAGCAUCCUAAAGCCCUGAGAAAAACUUGGAGUUUAGCUGUCCUGCAACUUCUGAGCCACAGACAGAACUGUGGGUUGUCACUUCAGGUGUGGGGUAUGGAGCAAAGUGCCACCUCCAGUCCCAAGCCAACAUAGAGGGUUUCUCUAUGUAGCCCUAGCUGUCCUGGAACUCACUCUGUAGAUAAGGCUGGACUCGAACUCUCCUGCCUCCGCCUCCCAAGUGCUGGGAUUAAAGGUAUGCGCUGCCUCCACUGCAGCCGCCACCACCACCACCACUUGGCCACGUGUUCAGUUCUUAUCUCUAUUUUACAGCGCUUCUACCAGCAAGAAUAAGCCAGGGCUCUUCAGGUCUCUUUGGCCUAAGCGGCAGAAGCAAGAUGACGAAAGGAACCUCAUCCUUUGGAAAGCGUCGCAAUAAGACGCGCACAUUUGCCGCCACUGUGGCUCCAAGGCCUACCACCUUCAGAAGCCCACCUGUGGCAAAUGCGGCUACCCUGCUAAGCGCAAGAGAAAGUAUAACUGGAGUGCCAAGGCUAAGAGAUGAAACACUACCGGGACUGGGCGGAUGAGGCACCUAAAAAUUGUCUAUCGAAGAUUCAGACAUGGAUUCCAUGAAGGGACAAUACCUAAACCCAAAAGGGCAGCUGUUGCAGCAUCCAGUUCAUCUUGAGGAUUUCAGUCAGUCAUAAAAAUAAAAUGUUAUGGUUUCAAAAAAAAAAAAAAAAGAGUAAGCCAG